GCCCUUGUAGCUCAGUAGGUAGAGCACUUCCUUGGUAAGGAAGAGGUCACCGGUUCGAAUCCGGUCAAGGGCUCCA
This 76-nucleotide transfer RNA is filed under the name Nitrospirota bacterium. Its description in RNAcentral is "Nitrospirae bacterium (groundwater metagenome) tRNA-Thr". It matches the Rfam family "tRNA". From Rfam's summary of the family: Transfer RNA (tRNA) molecules are approximately 80 nucleotides in length. Their secondary structure includes four short double-helical elements and three loops (D, anti-codon, and T loops). Further hydrogen bonds mediate the characteristic L-shaped molecular structure. tRNAs have two regions of fundamental functional importance: the anti-codon, which is responsible for specific mRNA codon recognition, and the 3' end, to which the tRNAs corresponding amino acid is attached (by aminoacyl-tRNA synthetases). tRNAs cope with the degeneracy of the genetic code in two manners: having more than one tRNA (with a specific anti-codon) for a particular amino acid; and 'wobble' base-pairing, i.e. permitting non-standard base-pairing at the 3rd anti-codon position. The record is from RNAcentral. Lineage: Bacteria; Pseudomonadati; Nitrospirota.